GAGGGUAUAGCUCAGCGGUAGAGCGCUUGUUUAGCAUGCACAAGGUCCUGGGUUCAGUCUCCAGCACCUCCA
Molecule: transfer RNA, 72 nt
Filed under: Camelus dromedarius (Arabian camel)
Lineage: Eukaryota; Metazoa; Chordata; Mammalia; Artiodactyla; Camelidae
Also listed under: 1 other name
Rfam family: tRNA
About the family: Transfer RNA (tRNA) molecules are approximately 80 nucleotides in length. Their secondary structure includes four short double-helical elements and three loops (D, anti-codon, and T loops).
Source: Rfam by way of RNAcentral